Molecule: transfer RNA, 67 nt
Filed under: Pseudoxya diminuta
Lineage: Eukaryota; Metazoa; Arthropoda; Insecta; Orthoptera; Acrididae
Description: tRNA-Tyr
Rfam family: tRNA
About the family: Transfer RNA (tRNA) molecules are approximately 80 nucleotides in length.
Source: RNAcentral
GGUAAGAUGGCUGAAUAUUAGGUGGUAGACUGUAAAUCUAUUUAUGGGAAUUAUUUCUCUCUUAUCA